RNAcentral lists this ribosomal RNA (402 nucleotides) under bacterium. RNAcentral's name for it is "partial 16S ribosomal RNA". It matches the Rfam family "Bacterial small subunit ribosomal RNA", at positions 355 to 776 of the family's 1533-position model. The record is from RNAcentral.
UGGGGAAUUUUGCACAAUGGGGGAAACCCUGAUGCAGCGACGCCGCGUGAUUUAGAAGGCCUUCGGGUUGUAAAAAUCUUUUCUAUGGGAAGAAAAUGACAGUACCAUAGGAAUAAGGACCGGCUAAUUACAUGCCAGCAGCCGCGGUAAUACGUAAGGUCCGAGCGUUGUCCGGAAUCAUUGGGCGUAAAGGGUACGUAGGCGGGUAAGCAAGUUAGAAGUGAAAUCCUAUAGCUCAACUAUAGUAAGCUUUUAAAACUGCUCAUCUUGAGGUAUGGAAGGGAAAGUGGAAUUCCUAGUGUAGCGGUGAAAUGCGCAGAUAUUAGGAGGAAUACCGGUGGCGAAGGCGACUUUCUGGCCAUAACCUGACGCUGAGGUACGAAAGCGUGGGUAGCAAACAGG